CGAGAAAACUUUGCAAUGUGCGAAAGCACGACAAGGUUAAUCCGAGUGUUUUCUGCUAAAGAAAUCUUUUGUCAGUCCUAAAAACACUGAUGAAUAAGGGGUGGGCAAGUUCUGGUGUCAGCCGCCGCGGUAAAAACCAGCACCUCAAGUGGUCAGGAGGAUUAUUGGGCCUAAAGCAUCCGUAGCCUGCUUUGUAAGUUUUCGGUUAAAUCCAUAUGCUCAACAUAUGGGCUGCCGGGAAUACUGCACAGCUAGGGAGUGGGAGAGGUAGACGGUACUGGGGUAGGAAGGGGUAAAAUCCUUUGAUCUAUUGAUGACCACCUGUGGCGAAGGCGGUCUACCAGAACACGUCCGACGGUGAGGGAUGAAGGCUGGGGGAGCAAACCGGAUUAGA
Molecule: ribosomal RNA, 394 nt
Filed under: uncultured Nitrososphaerota archaeon
Lineage: Archaea; Thermoproteati; Nitrososphaerota
Description: bacterial SSU rRNA
Rfam family: Archaeal small subunit ribosomal RNA
Source: RNAcentral